This 500-nucleotide ribosomal RNA is filed under the name uncultured bacterium. Its description in RNAcentral is "partial 16S ribosomal RNA". It matches the Rfam family "Bacterial small subunit ribosomal RNA", at positions 30 to 523 of the family's 1533-position model. The record is from RNAcentral.
AUUGAACGCUGGCGGCAUGCCUUACACAUGCAAGUCGAACGGCAGCACGGGAGCAACCCUGGUGGCGAGUGGCGAACGGGUGAGUAAUAUAUCGGAACGUGCCCAGUCGUGGGGGAUAACGCAGCGAAAGCUGUGCUAAUACCGCAUACGAUCUACGGAUGAAAGCGGGGGAUCGCAAGACCUCGCGCGAUUGGAGCGGCCGAUAUCAGAUUAGCUAGUUGGUGGGGUAAAAGCCCACCAAGGCGACGAUCUGUAGCUGGUCUGAGAGGACGACCAGCCACACUGGAACUGAGACACGGUCCAGACUCCUACGGGAGGCAGCAGUGGGGAAUUUUGGACAAUGGGCGCAAGCCUGAUCCAGCAAUGCCGCGUGCAGGAUGAAGGCCUUCGGGUUGUAAACUGCUUUUGUACGGAACGAAACGGCUCUUUCUAAUAAAGAGGGCUAAUGACGGUACCGUAAGAAUAAGUACCGGCUAACUACGUGCCAGCCGCCGCCGUAA